Dermacentor albipictus is the source of this 333-nucleotide long non-coding RNA. RefSeq lists it as uncharacterized. Lineage: Eukaryota; Metazoa; Arthropoda; Arachnida; Ixodida; Ixodidae. The record is from RefSeq and is a predicted model, not a curated record.
UACAGCUGUCAUCUAUUCAAGAAAAUGACAAAGUUUCUUGGAGUUAUCGUUACAUUUCUGUUUGCCACCGUCUUGUCAUGCAAUAUGGUGAACGGGGAUUGUUGGUUUAACUAUACCAAGAUUGUAGAUGGAGGCCAUUAUGGGUUCGAGAAGCCAUGCUUUGGGAUCGUCUGUAAUGGCAGUAGACUAGAAAUUGAAGACUGCCCAAAGGAGAAGCCAGACAGCAAUUGCGUACAUCGAGCGCCCGGACCCUGGCCAGAUUGCUGCAAAUUCGGUUAUGCUUGCUAAUCCAAGUAUACGAAGAACCCUUGAAUAAAGUAUUUUUUACCUUUA